GACGAACGCUGGCGGCGUGCUUAACACAUGCAAGUCGAACGGAAAGGCCCUGCUUUUGUGGGGUGCUCGAGUGGCGAACGGGUGAGUAACACGUGAGUAACCUGCCCUUGACUUUGGGAUAACUUCAGGAAACUGGGGCUAAUACCGGAUAGGAGCUCCUGCUGCAUGGUGGGGGUUGGAAAGUUUCGGCGGUUGGGGAUGGACUCGCGGCUUAUCAGCUUGUUGGUGGGGUAGUGGCUUACCAAGGCUUUGACGGGUAGCCGGCCUGAGAGGGUGACCGGCCACAUUGGGACUGAGAUACGGCCCAGACUCCUACGGGAGGCAGCAGUGGGGAAUAUUGCACAAUGGGCGGAAGCCUGAUGCAGCAACGCCGCGUGCGGGAUGAAGGCCUUCGGGCUGUAAACCGCUUUCGCCUGUGACGAAGCGUGAGUGACGGUAAUGGGUAAAGAAGCACCGGCUAACUACGUG
RNAcentral lists this ribosomal RNA (468 nucleotides) under uncultured bacterium. RNAcentral describes it as "partial 16S ribosomal RNA". It matches the Rfam family "Bacterial small subunit ribosomal RNA", at positions 28 to 507 of the family's 1533-position model. The record is from RNAcentral.